RNAcentral lists this ribosomal RNA (722 nucleotides) under uncultured bacterium. Its description in RNAcentral is "bacterial SSU rRNA". It matches the Rfam family "Bacterial small subunit ribosomal RNA", at positions 64 to 781 of the family's 1533-position model. The record is from RNAcentral.
CGACGGCAGCACGGGAGCAAUCCUGGUGGCGAGUGGCGAACGGGUGAGUAAUGUAUCGGAACGUACCUUUCAGUGGGGGAUAACGUAGCGAAAGUUACGCUAAUACCGCAUAUUCUGUGAGCAGGAAAGCAGGGGAUCGCAAGACCUUGCGCUGAUUGAGCGGCCGAUAUCAGAUUAGCUAGUUGGUGAGGUAAAGGCUCACCAAGGCGACGAUCUGUAGCGGGUCUGAGAGGAUGAUCCGCCACACUGGAACUGAGACACGGUCCAGACUCCUACGGGAGGCAGCAGUGGGGAAUUUUGGACAAUGGGCGCAAGCCUGAUCCAGCAAUGCCGCGUGCAGGACGAAGGCCUUCGGGUUGUAAACUGCUUUUGUACGGAACGAAAAAGUCUGCCCUAAUACGGUGGGCUCAUGACGGUACCGUAAGAAUAAGCACCGGCUAACUACGUGCCAGCAGCCACGGUAAUACGUAGGGUGCAAGCGUUAAUCGGAAUUACUGGGCGUAAAGCGUGCGCAGGCGGUUUUGUAAGACAGAUGUGAAAUCCCCGGGCUCAACCUGGGACCUGCAUUUGUGACUGCAAAGCUAGAGUACGGCAGAGGGGGAUGGAAUUCCGCGUGUAGCAGUGAAAUGCGUAGAUAUGCGGAGGAACACCGAUGGCGAAGGCAAUCCCCUGGGCCUGUACUGACGCUCAUGCACGAAAGCGUGGGGAGCAAACAGGAUUAG